Ribosomal RNA from Cricetulus griseus (Chinese hamster), 114 nucleotides. Lineage: Eukaryota; Metazoa; Chordata; Mammalia; Rodentia; Cricetidae. The record is from Ensembl.
GUGUAUACCCAUACCACCUGAACCCACCUGGUCUUGAUUGAUCUUAGAAGCUAAGCUGGGUCAGGCCCAGUUAAUACUUGGAUGGAAGAAGCUGAUCUACUGAUUGUAUAUGUA